CCAGUGUGUGUGUGUGUGUGUGUGUGUGUGUACAUUACACACAAAAACACACACACACAAAACACAGAGG
Molecule: non-coding RNA, 70 nt
Organism: Podarcis lilfordi (Lilford's wall lizard)
Lineage: Eukaryota; Metazoa; Chordata; Lepidosauria; Squamata; Lacertidae
Source: the annotation of a GenBank genome assembly